AACGAACGCUGGCGGCAUGCCUAACACAUGCAAGUCGAACGAGACCUUCGGGUCUAGUGGCGCACGGGUGCGUAACGCGUGGGAACCUGCCUUUAGGUUCGGAAUAACUCAGAGAAAUUUGAGCUAAUACCGGAUGAUGUCUUCGGACCAAAGAUUUAUCGCCUUUAGAUGGGCCCGCGUUGGAUUAGCUAGUUGGUGGGGUAAAGGCCUACCAAGGCGACGAUCCAUAGCUGGUCUGAGAGGAUGAUCAGCCAUACUGGGACUGAGACACGGCCCAGACUCCUACGGGAGGCAGCAGUGGGGAAUAUUGGACAAUGGGCGAAAGCCUGAUCCAGCAAUGCCGCGUGAGUGAUGAAGGCCUUAGGGUUGUAAAGCUCUUUUACCCGAGAUGAUAAUGACAGUAUCGGGAGAAUAAGCGCCGGCUAACUCCGUG
RNAcentral lists this ribosomal RNA (433 nucleotides) under uncultured bacterium. RNAcentral's name for it is "partial 16S ribosomal RNA". It matches the Rfam family "Bacterial small subunit ribosomal RNA", at positions 29 to 507 of the family's 1533-position model. The record is from RNAcentral.